Molecule: ribosomal RNA, 137 nt
Filed under: Flavobacteriales bacterium
Lineage: Bacteria; Pseudomonadati; Bacteroidota; Flavobacteriia; Flavobacteriales
Description: partial 23S ribosomal RNA
Rfam family: Bacterial large subunit ribosomal RNA
Source: RNAcentral
UGAAAGCAUCUAAGUGCGAAACUCACCACAAGAUGAGGUCUUGUUGAGGGUCGUUGAAGACUACAACGUUGAUAGGCCGCAGGUGUAAAGGCAGUGAUGUCACAGCCGAGCGGUACUAAUUACCCAAAAACUUAUAA